UUGGAGGGCAAGUCUGGUGCCAGCAGCCGCGGUAAUUCCAGCUCCAAUAGCGUAUAUUAAAGUUGUUGCAGUUAAAAAGCUCGUAGUUGAACUUCGGGGUCUACCCAUUGGUCAGGCUUAAUUGUCUGCACUGGUGAGAUGGAUCUCUACCUUCUGAGGAACUUUCAUGCCAUUUAUUUAGUGUGAUGGGAAAUCAGGACUGUUACUUUGAAAAAAUUAGAGUGUUUAAAGCAGACUAUCGUCUGAAUACAUUAGCAUGGAAUAAUGAAAUAGGACGGACUGAUUCUAUUUCGUUGGUUUCUAGGAUCACCGUAAUGAUUAAUAGGGAUAGUUGGGGGCGUUAGUAUUCAAUUGUCAGAGGUGAAAUUCUUGGAUUUAUUGAAGACUAACUACUGCGAAAGCAUUUGCCAAGGAUGUUUUCAUUAAUCAAGAACGAAAGUUAGGGGAUCGAAGACGAUCAGAUACCGUCGUAGUCUUAACCAUAAACUAUGCCGACUAGGGAUCGGACGAAGUUAAUUUUAUAAUGACGCGUUCGGCGCCUUACGGGAAAC
RNAcentral lists this ribosomal RNA (551 nucleotides) under uncultured Diversispora. RNAcentral's name for it is "SSU rRNA". It matches the Rfam family "Eukaryotic small subunit ribosomal RNA", at positions 548 to 1098 of the family's 1831-position model. Lineage: Eukaryota; Fungi; Glomeromycota; Glomeromycetes; Diversisporales; Diversisporaceae. The record is from RNAcentral.